RNAcentral lists this ribosomal RNA (561 nucleotides) under uncultured bacterium. Its description in RNAcentral is "bacterial SSU rRNA". It matches the Rfam family "Bacterial small subunit ribosomal RNA", at positions 338 to 916 of the family's 1533-position model. The record is from RNAcentral.
CCUACGGGAGGCAGCAGUAGGGAAUCUCGUGCAAUGGGCGAAAGCCUGACACAGCAACUCCGCGUGCGGGAAGAAGGCCUUAGGGUUGUAAACCGCUUUUGGCAGGAACGAAAAUGACGGUACCUGCAGAAUAAGGUGCGGCCAACUACGUGCCAGCAGCCGCGGUGACACGUAGGCACCAAGCGUUGUCCGGAUUUAUUGGGCGUAAAGAGCUCGUAGGCGGUUCAGUUAGUCGGGUGUGAAAACUCUGGGCUUAACCCGGGAGACGCCACUCGAUACUGCUGGGCUAGAAUUCGGUAGGGGAGUGGGGAAUUCCUGGUGUAGCGGUGAAAUGCGCAGAUAUCAGGAGGAACACCGGUGGCGAAGGCGCCACUCUGGGCCGACAUUGACGCUGAGGAGCGAAAGCGUGGGUAGCAAACAGGAUUAGAUACCCUGGUAGUCCACGCCGUAAACGGUGGGCACUAGGUGUGGGUUCCAACCAACGGAAUCCGUGCCGUCGCAAACGCAUUAAGUGCCCCGCCUGGGGAGUACGGCCGCAAGGUUAAAACUCAAGGAUGACGG